UGUAGGAGCGGGCUUGCUCGCGAUGCAGACGCCACAGUCUGCCGGGAAAACCAGGUGAUGUCAUCGCGAGCAAGCCCGCUCCCACA
RNAcentral lists this unclassified non-coding RNA (86 nucleotides) under Pseudomonas psychrophila. The record is from RNAcentral. Lineage: Bacteria; Pseudomonadati; Pseudomonadota; Gammaproteobacteria; Pseudomonadales; Pseudomonadaceae.